GACAUCACUCGGCGCUGAACGGAAAAGCAGGCCCCGCUGUCUGCGCUGCAGUUAACACAGCUUCCACAGCAAGCAAAGGCUCUUUGUCCCAAAGUUGUUGGAACUGACAUUUCUGGUUUCCUGUAAGAUACGGUUUGGCAUGGGAGGCACGUUAACACACGCCUACUAGGCCAAAGUGCAGCGAGUCAUGCCAAGCCAAUGACGUGAGGAGGAUCAGUGUAUCCACGAAGGAGGGGGUGAGGAACGCAUAGUAAGCAUCUGUUUUCAUGUAAAAGGCUUUGGGCACGGGGAAAAUGCCACGUGCAGUUACGGGACCCUUUAACAGCAAGUGCUGAUCAUCGCUAACAGGCUGUCCGCUAACAAAAAGGUUUCUGGGUCGUAGAAACUCCAUGAACUUUGGUUAGAUCUAGUCACGGGCCAUAAACGAAUCAAAUAUGGAAAAGACAUCCACUUACCGCCGCUGAGAAGCUUCAUCACCAGCCACAACUCGUCUUUCACGACGAAGGAAGUGUAGUAGGACACGAUGUUAGGAUGGUGGCACUGGCUCAUGGCCUGAAUCUCUUUCUGGGGAGAGAGAACGGGAAAGAGCAACACUAGUCAGCGUCGUCGCUACAUGCAGAUUGACUCCGUUUGAUCGGUAUGGGUAAUACGUUUGCACACAUGCUCAUCCUGCAUGGAUAUUCCCAGGGUAGAGUGAUUCCAACAUCAGGAGGUUUUUGCCAAAUGAUCACAUGACUCAAUUCAAUUCGAUUUGUACAGCACUUUUAACAAUGGACGUUGUCUCACAGCAGCUUUACAGAAACAUAUAAAACACAGGAUAUAGAUUUUAAGUGUGUGGAUUUAUCCCUAUUGAGCGAGCCGAUGGUGGUGAGGAAAAACUCCCUAAGAUGAUACGAGGAAGAAAUCUAGAGUCAGAAGGAAGCCCCGUCCUCAUUUGGGUAACGACUGAUAGCGUGAAAGUAAAGGGAAGGACAUAACAUGAUGUAGGGUAUGGGAAAGCAUCAUCUUCUGUCGUUCAUUAGACCAUACAGAAGGAUAAAUAAUAGCCGAGCAAUACGAGUUUCCAAGUUAAACUAUAAACAAAUCGCAUUUAAGGAUCUAGACAGCUGUACACAACGUGCAGUUCACAGCGAGAUGAAAUAGCAGUUCUCUGAGACUGAAACAAGUUGACAGUCCUUCUAAACACAAGGUCUGUUUGAAUUGAGCAAUAGCUUUAAAAAAAAAAAAAAAAAAAAAAAAAAAAGUCACAGUUACAAGAAAAAUAGGCCAGGGUGCAUUAGUGGACAAUAUAAAUAGAGUCGCUUCCCCAACUCUCCUCUCUUUCUCUCUGUAGAUGCAUAACUAAAACCGUGUGUCAAAGCCUUUUAGGCCCGACACAAGAGAUGGCUGAGGUAAUGUUGGCUCUGCAGCCCAAACUAUCACUCAAUUCACCCCCCUGCCAGAACCCUAGAUUGGUAUCUAGGCUUCCUGUUGUAUUGGAAUUUGUCUACUUGGCAUUACCGUUUGUCACCGGUGUAUACGGGUGUGGGCUUCUAAUCUGUAACGGCAAAAGCCGGCCCUUUUAUUAAAUACCUCGCUGCAACCCUCUAAUCCAAAACUAAAGCAUUGUGUUCCUUAAGUCAGGGCUCACAACUAACCGCUGACCCCUCAACUGACGUUUAUAUCUGGGUGUACUAUUAGGGCAAAGUCAACCAGCCGACAACUUAACCACUGGAGCGGAGAUUUCAAAGUAAACCGCUCGUUAUCGAUUCCGCCGUGUGCAAAUAAUCCGUGCUCGCCGGAAGGACCGUAUGAUGCAAUCGCAGUAGCAUUUUCAUGGGAACGGGAACACCUAGAAACACCUAGAGAGUCUGAGCAACAGCAGAACCUGAACUUGUAGAAACAUGACCAGAAAUCAAGAGCAAUCAACUAUUCCUGGAAUGCAGGAGGCCUGGUAGAGAUGAGUAGAUCCUGGAUUCCUUUCUUAUUUCCCACCUGGCAUCGUGUGAACAAGAUUCUGAGCUAUUCACCCGAUGAACAGCGUUAAUGUCAGAUCGUUUGGCGUCGGUUAGGUUCUGACAUCUACGGCCCCAAAGGUAGCUCUGAUGUUAUGAUAUAGUCCUAACUUUGUUGAUACCAUUUUAUGAAAUUGAAUUCUUUGAAACGAGAUGAUGUGACGCACCGACGCGAAACAACGCACCUGUUAUAGCAAUCUUAUAUUCAAUUAAAUUAGAUUUGUAUAGUUUUACAGAAACAUAUAAACACAGCAUACAGAUUUUAAGUGUGUGAAUUUAUCCCUGUUGAGCGAGCCGGUGGCGAGAAAAAACUCGCAAAGAUGAUACGAGGAAGAAACCUUGAGAGGAACCAGACUCAGAAGGGAACCCGUCCUCAUCUGGGUAACGACGGAUAGUGUGAAAGUAAAGGGAAGUUCGUUAUGGUUUUAACAUGAAGUCUGUUUGUUGAACUAGUCCACUGUUCACUAAAGGAGACCUGAGUGCAAAACUGCAUGUGGUAAUUGCAGUCCCAAGGCCAUCGCAGCAACCGUAGUCCCAGCAACCACAGUGAGAAUGUCCGUGUGGAAUUGAGGUCCAAAAACAUUUCGAUGGUACUUCAAGCGGUACCAUCCUCAGCAAUCUCCAGGCUGCACUGCUUGGGGUUAUACAUCCUAUAUCCACUGGCUCAUUGGAUUUUCCGUGUUUUAGAAGCCGAAACCUUCUAGUUUGUCUUUGCAGACUUGACAAAAAUCUCUACCGGCGAAGUCACUUCAGUGUGAUAUCGAACGCAACCUAGCGCAGUUUAUUCUGAACCUGUUAAGGAAAUGCACAGAGCAGGAUCUGAAGAACCAGGAUUCGGCAGAUUUCUUUGGCGUGAUUGAACCUAUUCGUUAAUGACUAGGUUUUAUGGAGUACACUCCUGUGUUAAUAGCUCUCGUAAAGUCAGAAAGGAAAACCCUAAUGUACAACCUUGAACUGGAGUUUUUGCCUUGCCCGAGUUUGGGCUCAUAACCUGCAAGUUUCAGCCUGCACAGUGUACAAAGUCCUACGAGCCCAAGGAUAUAGGAUUUUCUAAGGGUGGUGUGUCUCGAACAGGUGUCAUGAAAAAUUCUAGUAAAGUAAGGACACCUUUAAGUGGUGAUUGCACAACAUAAAGUGAAGCUUGGAAAGAUACAUUGUGCUCAGGUUUUACAAUGCUUGUACUUUGGUUGGAAAGGUUGGGUAAAGUAAUACUUAAUGCAACAUUCUUGCCCAUUCACCAACUGACAUACAAGAGACGAGCAGGACAAAGGAACCUCCUGGAGGGCAUUGCACUGGUAAUUAUAUGCUUGUGGUACUGAUUCAUUCUGGCCAUGAAAAAAAAAAAAAAAAGAAAGCCAAAAAGAAAGAA
Long non-coding RNA from Ictalurus furcatus (blue catfish), 3363 nucleotides. RefSeq lists it as uncharacterized. The transcript has 2 exons. Lineage: Eukaryota; Metazoa; Chordata; Actinopteri; Siluriformes; Ictaluridae. The record is from RefSeq and is a predicted model, not a curated record.